GCAACUGUCUAAGGUAAUCGCGUGCGGUCUCAGCCGUACGAGGAAAGUCCGAGCUCCGCAGGGCAGGGUGCCGGGUAACACCCGGUGGGGGCGACCCCAAGGAAAGUGCCACAGAAAAGAAGACGCUGAUCACCGGUAACCUGGUCAUCAGCAAAGCUGAAACGGUGCGGUAAGAGCGCACCAGCGGACGGGUAACCGUUCGGCUUGGCAAACCCCACCCGGAGCAAGACCAAAUAGGAGGGAAACAGGAGCGCCCGUCCUUCUCUCGGGUUGGUCGCUGGAGGUGUCAGGUAACUGGCAUCGUAGACAGAUGAUUACCGUCCCGGAAACGGGUCACAGAACUCGGCUUAUUGGGCAGUUGCAUAG
Molecule: RNase P RNA, 366 nt
Filed under: Bacillota bacterium
Lineage: Bacteria; Bacillati; Bacillota
Description: RNase P RNA component class A
Rfam family: Bacterial RNase P class A
About the family: Ribonuclease P (RNase P) is a ubiquitous endoribonuclease, found in archaea, bacteria and eukarya as well as chloroplasts and mitochondria.
Source: RNAcentral